AUACGAAGGGUGCAAGCGUUGUUCGGAUUUAUUGGGCGUAAAGCGCGCGCAGGCGGGCAUACAAGUCAGAUGUGAAAUCUCGGAGCUCAACUUCGAAACUGCGUCUGAAACUAUAUGUCUAGAAUGUUGGAGAGGGUAACGGAAUAUCGCAUGUAGGGGUAAAAUCCGUAGAGAUGCGAUGGAACAUCAGAGGCGAAGGCGGUUACCUGGCCAAAUAUUGACGCUGAGGCGCGAAAGCGUGGGGAGCAAACAGGAUUAGAUACCCUGGUAGUCCACGCUGUAAACGAUGAGAACUAGAUAUCGAGGGAUUUGACCCCCCCGGAAUCGAAGCUAACGCAUUAAGUUCUCCGCCUGGGAAGUACGGUCGCAAGACUAAA
RNAcentral lists this ribosomal RNA (377 nucleotides) under uncultured Pseudobdellovibrionaceae bacterium. RNAcentral describes it as "bacterial SSU rRNA". It matches the Rfam family "Bacterial small subunit ribosomal RNA", at positions 523 to 898 of the family's 1533-position model. The record is from RNAcentral. Lineage: Bacteria; Pseudomonadati; Bdellovibrionota; Bdellovibrionia; Bdellovibrionales; Pseudobdellovibrionaceae.